RNAcentral lists this ribosomal RNA (265 nucleotides) under uncultured prokaryote. RNAcentral describes it as "partial 16S ribosomal RNA". It matches the Rfam family "Bacterial small subunit ribosomal RNA", at positions 524 to 789 of the family's 1533-position model. The record is from RNAcentral.
UACGUAGGGGCAAGCGUUGUCCGGAAUUACUGGGCGUAAAGCGCACGCAGGCGGAAUUGUAAGUCCGUUGUAAAAUUCAGAGGCUCAACCUCUGUCUGUCGGCGGAUACUGCAAAUCUAGAGUAUGUGAGAGGGAAGUGGAAUUCCUGGUGUAGCGGUGAAAUGCGUAGAUAUCAGGAGGAACUCCGGUGGCGAAGGCGACUUCCUGGCACAAGACUGACGCUCAUGUGCGAAAGCUAGGGUAGCGAACGGGAUUAGAUACCCCU